RNAcentral lists this ribosomal RNA (449 nucleotides) under uncultured bacterium. RNAcentral's name for it is "partial 16S ribosomal RNA". It matches the Rfam family "Bacterial small subunit ribosomal RNA", at positions 354 to 796 of the family's 1533-position model. The record is from RNAcentral.
GUCGAGAAUCUUUCACAAUGGGGGCAACCCUGAUGGAGCGACGCCGCGUGGAGGAUAAGGUCUUCGGAUUGUAAACUCCUGUCAUGCGUGAACAAGGUUGCUUGGUUAAUACCUGGGCAAAUUGAUGGUAACGCAAGAGGACGAGACGGCUAACUCUGUGCCAGCAGCCGCGGUAAUACAGAGGUCUCAAGCGUUGUUCGGAAUCACUGGGCGUAAAGGGUGCGUAGGUGGCGUGGUAAGUCAGAUGUGACAGCCCGGGGCUCAACCUCGGAACUGCAUCCGAGACUGCCAUGCUGGAGUACUGGAGAGGUGACUAGACUGCUCGUUGUAGCAGUGAAAUGCGUAGAUAUCGAGAGGAAUACCAAAGGCGUAGGCAGGUCACUGGACAGUUACUGACACUGAGGCACGAAGGCCAGGGGAGCGAACGGGAUUAGAAACCCUGGUAGUCC